GGGAGGCCGGGAGGGGUCCCUGGGCGGGGAGUUGCUGCGCAUCUGUUGUGUGUGUGCGUCUGUCUGUCUGUUCAGGUCUGUUUUAGGCUGUGUCUGUCUGUCUGUCUGGGUCUGUUUCAGGCUGUGUCUGUCUGUCUGUCCGGGUCUGUUUCAGGCUGUGUCUGGGUCUGUUUCAGGCUGUGUCUGUCUGUUUGUCUGGGUCUGUUUCAAUCUGUGUCUGUCUGUCUAGGUCUGUUUCAGGCUGUAUGUGUGUCUGCUCUUUGCUUCUGCUCCUGGCUCUGUGUGUAUUUCCCGG
Molecule: long non-coding RNA, 295 nt
Filed under: Homo sapiens (human)
Lineage: Eukaryota; Metazoa; Chordata; Mammalia; Primates; Hominidae
Description: HSALNT0395757
Source: RNAcentral